RNAcentral lists this ribosomal RNA (254 nucleotides) under uncultured prokaryote. Its description in RNAcentral is "partial 16S ribosomal RNA". It matches the Rfam family "Bacterial small subunit ribosomal RNA", at positions 524 to 776 of the family's 1533-position model. The record is from RNAcentral.
UACGUAGGGUCCAAGCGUUAUCCGGAAUUACUGGGCGUAAAGAGUUGCGUAGGUGGCAUGGUAAGCGAAUAGUGAAAUGACGAGGCUCAACCUUGUGUCCAUUAUUUGAACUGCCAAGCUAGAGAAUGUGAGAGGUACCUGGAAUUCCCUGUGUAGGAGUGAAAUCCGUAGAUAUAGGGAGGAACACCGAUGGCGUAGGCAGGGUACUGGCACAUUUCUGACACUAAGGCACGAAAGCGUGGGUAGCAAACGGG